UACGUAGGGGGCAAGCGUUGUCCGGAAUUAUUGGGCGUAAAGAGCUCGUAGGCGGCUUGUCACGUCGGAUGUGAAAGCCCGGGGCUUAACCCCGGGUCUGCAUUCGAUACGGGCUAGCUAGAGUGUGGUAGGGGAGAUCGGAAUUCCUGGUGUAGCGGUGAAAUGCGCAGAUAUCAGGAGGAACACCGGUGGCGAAGGCGGAUCUCUGGGCCAUUACUGACGCUGAGGAGCGAAAGCGUGGGGAGCGAACAGG
RNAcentral lists this ribosomal RNA (253 nucleotides) under uncultured bacterium. Its description in RNAcentral is "partial 16S ribosomal RNA". It matches the Rfam family "Bacterial small subunit ribosomal RNA", at positions 524 to 776 of the family's 1533-position model. The record is from RNAcentral.